This is a long non-coding RNA of Olea europaea var. sylvestris, 611 nucleotides long. RefSeq lists it as uncharacterized. The record is from RefSeq and is a predicted model, not a curated record. The transcript is spliced from 2 exons. NCBI's taxonomy places the organism in Eukaryota, Viridiplantae, Streptophyta, Magnoliopsida, Lamiales, Oleaceae.
AAAGUCCUAAUAAAUCCAAGGUUAAUGCUGGUUGUACAUUACCUUGUACAUGAGCUUGUCCAUAAUGCUGAGUUAGCAUUGUUUGAAUUUCAAUUUCUCGUGGCCAUUAAAGAAUGGGUUAAAUUUUUUGAUAGAAUUCCCAAAAAGCCCCUACCUUAUCUGAUUCCUCAAAACCUUCUCUUUGCACAAGAAAUCGCCAUACAAUACUCUGUCUAAUUGAAAUCCUCUGACGACCGACAAUGAGUCGGCGACGAUGAGCAGAUCGAGUGAGACAAACGCCUAGUGAGAUGGUACAGUCUAACAAAGUAUACACCGAGGAGGAUGUAAGAGACCAAGUGGUUAAAAGGAUCCCAUUCGAGUCAUCCGAGCAGGGACCCUUUCGCUUUCCUGGGUUACGUGGUGAUAUUGAAGCCAUUGAACGUAGUUUCUUUUGGCGGUAUCAACCAUUUCUUUGAAGCAGCCGAAGAGAUGAAGAAUGAUUUCUUUAGUGCAAUAGCGGCUCCUUUGGAAUUUCAGCAAUCAAAUGACAUUAUAUAGUUGGACAUUUCAAUUUUCAAAUCUGUGGAAGUGAAUGUAACUCUUCAACCAUUAUGACACAACUAAAUUUUUUU